RNAcentral lists this ribosomal RNA (811 nucleotides) under uncultured bacterium. RNAcentral describes it as "bacterial SSU rRNA". It matches the Rfam family "Bacterial small subunit ribosomal RNA", at positions 8 to 813 of the family's 1533-position model. The record is from RNAcentral.
AGAGUUUGAUCCUGGCUCAGGAUGAACGCUGGCGGCGUGCCUAACACAUGCAAGUCGAACGGACUUAUAACGAAACCUAGUGAAUUAUAAGUUAGUGGCGGACGGGUGAGUAACGCGUGGAAAACCUGCCGUAUACUGGGGGAUAACACUUAGAAAUAGGUGCUAAUACCGCAUAAGCGCACAGCUUCGCAUGAAGCAGUGUGAAAAACUCCGGUGGUAUACGAUGGUUCCGCGUCUGAUUAGCUAGUUGGUGAGGUAAUAGCCCACCAAGGCGACGAUCAGUAGCCGGCCUGAGAGGGUGAACGGCCACAUUGGGACUGAGACACGGCCCAGACUCCUACGGGAGGCAGCAGUGGGGGAUAUUGCACAAUGGGGGAAACCCUGAUGCAGCGACGCCGCGUGAGUGAAGAAGUAUUUCGGUACGUAAAGCUCUAUCAGCAGGGAAGAAAAAAAGUCCACAGGACUUUGGACGGUACCUGACUAAGAAGCCCCGGCUAACUACGUGCCAGCAGCCGCGGUAAUACGUAGGGGGCAAGCGUUAUCCGGAUUUACUGGGUGUAAAGGGAGCGUAGACGGCUGUGCAAGUCUGAAGUGAAAUGCCGGGGCCCAACCCCGGAACUGCUUUGGAAACUGUACAGCUAGAGUGCAGGAGGGGUGAGCGGAAUUCCUAGUGUAGCAGUGAAAUGCGUAGAUAUUAGGAGGAACACCGGUGGCGAAGGCGGCUCACUGGACUGUAACUGACGUUGAGGCUCGAAAGCGUGGGGAGCAAACAGGAUUAGACACCCUGGUAGUCCACGCCGUAAACGAUGAU